RNAcentral lists this transfer RNA (72 nucleotides) under Syncephalis pseudoplumigaleata. It matches the Rfam family "tRNA". From Rfam's summary of the family: Transfer RNA (tRNA) molecules are approximately 80 nucleotides in length. Lineage: Eukaryota; Fungi; Zoopagomycota; Zoopagomycetes; Zoopagales; Piptocephalidaceae. The record is from Rfam by way of RNAcentral.
GCCCGUUUAGCUCAGUGGCAGAGCGUUGGUCUUGUAAACCAAAGGUCGCUGGUUCAAUCCCGGCAGUGGGCA